This 200-nucleotide ribosomal RNA is filed under the name uncultured bacterium. RNAcentral describes it as "partial 16S ribosomal RNA". It matches the Rfam family "Bacterial small subunit ribosomal RNA", at positions 1300 to 1500 of the family's 1533-position model. The record is from RNAcentral.
GCAGCCUGCAACUCGGCUGCAUGAAGCCGGAAUCGCUAGUAAUCGCGGAUCAGAAUGCCGCGGUGAAUACGUUCCCGGGUCUUGUACACACCGCCCGUCACACCAUGGGAGUCGGGAAUGCCCGAAGCCGGUGGCCCAACCUUAGGGAGGGAGCCGUCGAAGGCAGGCCCGGUGACUGGGUGAAGUCGUAACAAGGUAGC